Paralichthys olivaceus (Japanese flounder) is the source of this 1777-nucleotide long non-coding RNA. RefSeq lists it as uncharacterized. NCBI's taxonomy places the organism in Eukaryota, Metazoa, Chordata, Actinopteri, Pleuronectiformes, Paralichthyidae. The record is from RefSeq and is a predicted model, not a curated record.
UGAAGGACUUGUGGAACAGCGGAGUAGAAUAGGAUGCGCCUUCAGGCUGGUGCCUCGGGGGCACCUGUCAGGUCACGGUCAGGGUGAAGAAAACUCAGGAGUCACUGUCACGUGUCUUCGCUGAAAAGCAACAUGGCGUCUUUCAGAUUCAAACGAAGUCAGUGGCGGUGAAUGUGAGACUUUCUGGGAGAAGUAGACAGAAUGUUAACGUUUGUGUUGAAGUCAAACACAAGAUACAUGGUCUGGUUUAAAGGGACGAAAACAGCAGCGAAGAAAAAGUCCGAACUCCAGCCUCAAAUGGGAGAAGUUAGCAGUCUUCGAUGGCGGUGAUGCUAUGGAGGCUAAUUUUGUGCUGAGUGCAUCAUCAUCAACUCUCCCAUCAGACGUCAGCUCGUCGCCAAAGAGAAGCGGUUCCAGCCAUCCCAUUAGAGGAGAGGUAACGGUGCCCUGACUGUGCACCAGAGAGAGGAUGGAGAGGAGGGGGGCACAGCGAGUGCAGAGGCUGGACUGGGCCGCUGGACACGAGCCAAUGCGGGCACAAAGACCUCUGUCACAUCCUCCGAGUUUUAUGGCAGGAGUAUAAUAUUCAUCUUGUAUGCAAUUGGAAUCAAGGGCUCCUACUGGAUCCCAUCAGAAGGGGAUUAAAGAGGAAAAGGGCAACUAGGAUCACUUGGAGAGCAGACCCCUUCCACUUGAGCCAACACUCAAGCAGGGAUGAAGUGCAGGCGCAGAGACGACCCAGAGGGAGAGCGCGCAGAGGGAAGGGAGAGACGGGGAGGUGGCAUAGUUUGGAUUCCCAAUAUGUGUCCGGGGAAUCCGAAGUGAGGCCAGAUGGCACAGGCCUGUCGGUCUUUGGGAAUCACAGCAUACGGUGGCGGCACGCAUGGCAGAAGGUAGCGGGAAACAGUACCGGGGUCAGCUCUUGAUGUUGGACGCUCCCCGGAGCGGUUCCUUCCAUCCCUUUGAACAAGAGAGCAUCUCCACACUACUGCGCCGCGUCCCUGCUUAAUGCGGCAGUUGACUUCAAACGCCACGCAAUUCCCUCCUGCCCAAAGCCUCCUGAGUUCUAAACAUAUGUUUUCAGACCUGAUGAAAACACAGUGCCAAUAACAUGCCACUGAGCGCCACGCAUGGACAUAUGUGUUCUGUUUUCUCCAAACUUUCAUCUCGUACAAUUUAAUUUGACUCACUGCUGAAGCUGACAUGUGGGAGCUACGUCACGAAGCUACGGAGAAGCGGCGGAGUCGCUUCUCAACGCCUGUCAUGCCAGCGUGCUUUGCUAUAGCGAAGCGCGAUAUGAUGGCAGCCAAUUAUAUCUGUCAGCUUUCUGAGACAGAUGUCCAAUAUAACCUGGUUAGUGCUAAUAGGCAGAUUUUUAAACAAGAGUAAUUAUUCAUCGCUCACAGACCAGUAAAAGAGACGGAUGCUAAUAUCUGAUGCUGAAUGUGUGUGACAGGUGUUACCACCAAUUUCCCCCAGUCUCCUGUGGCAGCGCUCGCUAUGAAAACAUCUUAAAACACAUGUGUGCACUCACAUUGUAGUGAUCUCACACAUUUUUAACACAUACUCUUUGACUUUGGGAAAGAAGCAGUUCUGCAUGUGCAUACUGAUUAUCCUCCUCUAUUUCUGACAAAAUAACAGUUUUUUAGAAGCCAAGUGUGGUGUUAUGCUUGUCGUUGCAUCCCCAUAUCCGUGUAUAGACUAAGAUCCCCUCAUUAUUCUCAUUAAUUGUCCAUCUGUCAUCUUGGCAGAAACCCACUGGUAUAGAGUUAGCUAU